This 214-nucleotide long non-coding RNA is filed under the name Elaeis guineensis (African oil palm). Its description in RNAcentral is "long non-coding RNA (EGUI_LNC076524)". The record is from RNAcentral. Lineage: Eukaryota; Viridiplantae; Streptophyta; Magnoliopsida; Arecales; Arecaceae.
GACAUAUACCAUGUCGUUUCUGUAGCUACAUAAGAUUUUCUUUUCUUUUUUUUCUUUUUUUGUGUAGUACUUUUAGAGCAUAAUUUACAGAGCCAUGAAUUCUCCACCUCUUAUCAUUAGAUGAUAACUUCAACCAUGCACGUGUACUUGCACAAGUGGCCUUAAACUAAACGAGCAAAGAGUGCAUAAGCAUUCUUUUAAUUUUAUCUAUAUC